This 274-nucleotide ribosomal RNA is filed under the name uncultured bacterium. RNAcentral's name for it is "partial 16S ribosomal RNA". It matches the Rfam family "Bacterial small subunit ribosomal RNA", at positions 523 to 796 of the family's 1533-position model. The record is from RNAcentral.
AUACGAAAGGUGCAAGCGUUGUUCGGAUUUACUGGGCGUAAAGAGAGUGUAGGUUGUUUAUUAAGUCGGAUGUGAAAUCCCGGGGCUCAACCUCGGAACUGCAUUCGAUACUGGUAGACUAGAGUUCGUGAGGGGUAAGCGGAAUUCCGUGUGUAGCAGUGAAAUGCGUAGAUAUACGGAGGAACACCUGAGGCGAAGGCGGCUUACUGGACCGAUACUGACACUGAGACUCGAAAGCGUGGGUAGCAAACAGGAUUAGAAACCCUAGUAGUCC